Helianthus annuus (common sunflower) is the source of this 344-nucleotide long non-coding RNA. RefSeq lists it as uncharacterized. Lineage: Eukaryota; Viridiplantae; Streptophyta; Magnoliopsida; Asterales; Asteraceae. The transcript has 3 exons. The record is from RefSeq and is a predicted model, not a curated record.
GACAGAAACACAGGGGGCGAUCCAGAGCUUCCCUUCAAACCCUAAUUCCUCACAAAACUCUCAAAUCGAUGGUCCAAACCAAGUCCAAAUCGAAAUCCAAGUACGGAAUAGUGAUCUCCACUGAAAAAGGGGUCACAAGGAAAAGAUACCGGGACGUCAAGUGGACAAGCCGGAGGCGACUUGCGUUUGAAGGGCGUACUUUAAAAAGGUGAUGAUGGACUAAAUCCGGAUGGCGAUCAAGCACUAAUCCAAGAACCGAACACGAUCUUUUGAAGCUUUCGCGAUUACUUAUUCAUGUUUAAAGCAAUGUCUAUGUAGCUAACACUUAAAUACUUGUUUUUAUU